GACGAACGCUGGCUGCGUGCUUAACACAUGCAAGUCGAACGCUGAAGCCCUGGUGCUUGCACCGGGGUGGAUGAGUGGCGAACGGGUGAGUAACACGUGAGUAACCUGCCCCCGACUUCGGGAUAAGCCCGGGAAACUGGGUCUAAUACCGGAUAUGACGACCGAAGGCAUCUUUGGUUGUGGAAAGUUUUUUCGGUUGGGGAUGGGCUCGCGGCCUAUCAGUUUGUUGGUGAGGUAAUGGCUCACCAAGACGACGACGGGUAGCCGGCCUGAGAGGGCGACCGGCCACACUGGGACUGAGACACGGCCCAGACUCCUACGGGAGGCAGCAGUGGGGAAUAUUGCACAAUGGGGGAAACCCUGAUGCAGCGACGCAGCGUGCGGGAUGACGGCCUUCGGGUUGUAAACCGCUUUCAGCAGGGAAGAAGCCUUUCGGGGUGACGGUA
Molecule: ribosomal RNA, 446 nt
Filed under: uncultured bacterium
Lineage: Bacteria
Description: bacterial SSU rRNA
Rfam family: Bacterial small subunit ribosomal RNA
Source: RNAcentral